Molecule: ribosomal RNA, 506 nt
Filed under: uncultured bacterium
Lineage: Bacteria
Description: partial 16S ribosomal RNA
Rfam family: Bacterial small subunit ribosomal RNA
Source: RNAcentral
AUUGAACGCUGGCGGCAGGCCUAACACAUGCAAGUCGGACGGUAGCACAGAGGAGCUUGCUCCUCGGGUGACGAGUGGCGGACGGGUGAGUAAUGUCUGGGGAUCUGCCCGAUAGAGGGGGAUAACCACUGGAAACGGUGGCUAAUACCGCAUAACGUCGCAAGACCAAAGAGGGGGACCUUCGGGCCUCUCACUAUCGGAUGAACCCAGAUGGGAUUAGCUAGUAGGCGGGGUAAUGGCCCACCUAGGCGACGAUCCCUAGCUGGUCUGAGGGGAUGACCAGCCACACUGGAACGGAGACACGGGCCAGACUCCUACGGGAGGCAGCAGUGGGGAAUAUUGCACCAUGGGCGCAAGCCUGAUGCAGCCAUGCCGCGUGUAUGAAGAAGGCCUUCGGGUUGUAAAGUACUUUCAGCGGGGAGGAAGGCGGUGAGGUUAAUAACCUCACCGAUUGACGUUACCCGCAGAAGAAGCACCGGCUAACUCCGUGCCAGCCGCCGCCGUAA